Molecule: long non-coding RNA, 1747 nt
Organism: Dermacentor andersoni
Lineage: Eukaryota; Metazoa; Arthropoda; Arachnida; Ixodida; Ixodidae
Source: RefSeq, a predicted model, not a curated record
AAAUUGAUUGAAAAAGUGAAAAGGAACUCAGCUGUAAUGAAACACAAGGCACUUUGGAACUAUAAUAGGUACGAGGUGGUUAGGGGCGUAUGGAAAGGGGUUAUGGUACCUGGCCUCACAUUCGGAAAUUCAGUACUGUGCAUGAAAUCGGAAGUUCAGGCAUGCAUGGAAACGAGACAGAGAAGUGUAGGCAGGUUGGCCUUAGGAGCACACGGGAACACCCCUAAUGAGGGAGUGCAGGGGGACAUGGGAUGGUCGUCAUUCGAAGGUAGAGAGGCAAUAAGUAAACUAAAAUUUGAACAGAGACUCCCAGCACUGGAGGAAAAAAGGUGGGCAGGAAAAGUGUACAAAUAUUUGUACAUGAAAAGUUUGAACACAAAGUGGACACUCAGAACGAGGAAGCUGAGGAAUAGAUACCUACAGCCGAGGGAGGGGGUCCAACGUGGUUCUAGUGUGGGAAAGGAGGUGAAGGAGACGGAAAGAAAAAUGUGGCAAGAAAGAAUGCUCGGAAAGCCAGCGCUAUCAAUGUAUAGGUCACAAAAACAGGAGGUUAAGAGAGAGCUCUUAUUUGAUAACUCGCGGGGCAGCUCACGAUUAUUCGAAGCUAGGACGGGGGUUUUGAGAACGAAAACAUACAGGGCUAAAUUUGAAGACGUGGACCUUCGGUGCACAGCUUGCGGAGCCGAAAUGGAGACCACUGAGCAUAUAGUGCUGAGAUGCACAGACUUUCGCCCGACCCUGGCAGAGGGAAUAGUGGCAGAUAUGGAAGGGGCAUUAGGUUUUCCCGGGGAAGAAGGGCAAAUAGACGAGAAAGAGUGGCAGUAACGAAGGGGAGACUAGAGGAUUGGUGGAGGAAGUCAAGGGAUAGAUAAUACCAUAAAUCGGGGAGAUAAUGUUUCCUCUACUGUUUUAGAUAGUUAUUUUGGGGGGAGGAGGGGAGUGAAAACUAGUUUAAGGAAAAGAGGAUAUAGAGAAAGGAAAAAAAGGAAUAAUAAUAAAAUAGGAGGGGGAGCAAAAGGCUAGGUGGCGCCAGCCGCCGCCCGUUACAAAGGGUAUAGCCGCCAUCCAUCCAUCCAUCCAUAAAAAAAACGGCCACUAAUGUCUCGGCCGUGGGUUCGUUAUCUAGUUGUGCGUCAUUCUAAGCCGUUCUGUACAUUUGUACUGAAUAUUAACUGGAGUCAUUUAGCUGUGCUGAUGCUGUUUUCCGUGUUUUUUGCAUCAGUGCUUCGUGACGUCGGCUGUAUUGCGUGUUUUCGCCGACGGCUUACUACCACAAUGACGGAAUCUGCGUUCGCCGCCUUCGUGUCUCGGUGCGUCUUUGUACGUCGCACGUUCGGAUAGCACUUUUUCCGACGGCUGGACAUCCUUCUUGUACCUUGGCGCUAGCUGGAUGACGGGACCUCAUCAUGAUCAGUGUAUUGCUUGCCUAUGUCUACAAGAACCGUCACGCGUGGCCUGUGACAGCAAGCUUUUGUGGGCAGCAAGUGCUCUCGUACGAAGGCUGGCCUACUCUGGCAGCAACGGCAAUCAUCUUCAAGAUUUAUCCAUGAUCACCUUUGCUGCUAUUUCUCACUCUUGUUAAUUACACUUCCUGCAUCUUUUCUAAUUUAUUAGGUAAUAAAGUAUGGAGUAUGUGACAUGGUGUGAAGUUGAUGUCUUGCUGCAUUUUCACUUGCAAUCAUCUUUUAUGCAUGAAAAGCUCAUCGUACAGUUUAUGAAAAGAAAUAACAGCAUAUUAUGAUUUAUC